RNAcentral lists this ribosomal RNA (1016 nucleotides) under uncultured bacterium. Its description in RNAcentral is "bacterial SSU rRNA". It matches the Rfam family "Bacterial small subunit ribosomal RNA", at positions 41 to 1058 of the family's 1533-position model. The record is from RNAcentral.
UUCAGGCCUAACACAUGCAAGUCGAACGGGAAAGCACUUUUCGGAGUGCGAGUAGAGUGGCGAACGGGUGAGUAACGCGUGGGUGAUCUACCCUUUGGUGGGGGAUAACCCGAGGAAACUCGGGCUAAUACCGCAUGAGCCUGAAGUUGUAAGGGACUUUAGGGAAAGCUUUUGGGUGCCGAAGGAGGAGUCCGCGUCCGAUUAGCUAGUUGGUGAGGUAAGGGCUCACCAAGGCGACGAUCGGUAGCCGGUCUGAGAGGACGGACGGUCACACUGGGACUGAGACACGGCCCAGACUCCUACGGGAGGCAGCAGUGGGGAAUUUUGGGCAAUGGGCGCAAGCCUGACCCAGCAACGCCGCGUGGAGGACGAAGGUUUUCGGAUCGUAAACUCCUGUCUAGAGGGACGAAGCAAGUGACGGUACCUCUGGAGGAAGCCCCGGCUAACUCCGUGCCAGCAGCCGCGGUAAUACGGGGGGGGCGAGCGUUGUUCGGAAUUACUGGGCGUAAAGGGCGCGUAGGCGGUUUCGGAAGUCAUGGGUGAAAGUCCUCGGCUCAACCGAGGGAUUGUCUGUGAAACCACGGGACUGGAGUGCUGGAGAGGGAAGUGGAAUUCCCAGUGUAGCGGUGAAAUGCGUAGAUAUUGGGAGGAACAUCUGUGGCGAAGGCGGCUUCCUGGACAGACACUGACGCUGAGGCGCGAAAGCCAGGGGAGCGAACGGGAUUAGAUACCCCGGUAGUCCUGGCUGUAAACGAUGAACACUUGGUGUAGGGGGUGGAUGAAAGUCCUUCUGUGCCGUAGAGAACUCGAUAAGUGUUCCGCCUGGGGGAGUACGGCCGCAAGGCUGAAACUCAAAGGAAUUGACGGGGGCCCGCACAAGCGGUGGAACCAUGUUGGUUUAAUUCGACGCAACGCGAAGAACCUUACCGGGGGUUUGAACUGUACGUGAACGACCUAGAGAAUGGGGGAGGAUCCUUUCGGGGACAGGUACAGAGGUGCUGCAUGGCUGUCGUCAG